Mus caroli (Ryukyu mouse) is the source of this 107-nucleotide small nuclear RNA. NCBI's taxonomy places the organism in Eukaryota, Metazoa, Chordata, Mammalia, Rodentia, Muridae. The record is from RefSeq and is a predicted model, not a curated record.
GUGCUCACUUCAGCAGCACAUAUACUAAAAUUGAAAUGAUACAGAGAAGUUUAACAUGAUGCCUGUACAAGGAUGACACGCAAAAUCAUGAAGAGUCCCAUAUUUUU